AGCAGAAUCUCUGGCAAACAAACGGUAGCAUAAGGAAUUUACAUCAACUUAUUUAAGUGAGGUGGCACCACUAAUGAAUAUUACAUACAAAGAGUUGUGGUUUGUGAAUAUACAUCUUCACAAGGAAUUAUUGUUAAUCUCAAGAAAAUGGAACAGCUACAUUAAACGACUACGUUUCGCAUGUAUAGUAGCAACUUCCAAGUCUCCAACGAAGAAGAGAAUUUUGUCUAAGA
RNAcentral lists this long non-coding RNA (233 nucleotides) under Salvia miltiorrhiza (redroot sage). RNAcentral's name for it is "long non-coding RNA (SMIL_LNC004800)". Lineage: Eukaryota; Viridiplantae; Streptophyta; Magnoliopsida; Lamiales; Lamiaceae. The record is from RNAcentral.